GAGUCAAUAAGUGCAGCUCACACUCAAGGGGAGGAGGUGAUUACACAAGAAUAUGAACACCAGGGAUUAGAGAUCACUGGGGGCCGUCUUAGAAGCUGCCUACCACAGGAGAUUAACACAGUAGAACAGAGAAAGAGAGGGCUUCAAAAAUCUGGUUGAGACCAACUUGUUUAGAGACCUCUGACCUACAAGGCUAAAGAGAUUUGAUUUGAUUUUAUAAGCCAGUAUUUCUCAAACUUCACUGUGCACCUGGAGAGAUUGUUCCUAUUUAUACUUUUGAGUCCCAGCUACAAAGAUUAUGUUUCAGUCUAUCUGGGGGCAGGCCUGGGAACUUGCAUUUAUAAUAAGUGCCCAGGUGACUCUGAUGCAAGUGGUUCAAGGACAUGCUUUGAGAAAUUCUGCUGUAAGCAACAAAACUAUUAGUUUAGUACAGGGAAGAUGUGGCCAGGUUCUCCUGCCCUCACUACAGAGAAAUGGACAUUAGAUGUGGUCAAGGCAUCUCUUGAACAAUGGGUCUCAAUUCCAACUGCAUAUUUUAAUCACCUGGGGGAAGUUCUUUAAAAAUACAAAGGUCUGGAACACAUCUCCAGAGAUUUUGAUUGAAGUGGUGUGGGCAUGGAACUCUGGUUUCCCAGGUAAUUCAACCUCCAUGCCUUGCCUUCUCCCCCCUCUCCAGUCUAAGACCUUGCUAUUUCAAGUGUGGUCUCUGGCUAGACAGCAUCAGCAUCACUUGGAAUGUUGCCAGAAUGAAGAAUCUCAUGCACUGCCCUUGAACUAGUGAAUCAAAAUCUGCAUCUUAACAAAAUUCCCUGGUGGUCUUGAAGACCCUAGAAUUACUCUGAGCUAGAGUCCAGAGGUUCUCAGAGACCAAGGAUUUCCACGCAUUUGGGGGCACACAGUAAAAGUGAGAGGUCAGAGGAUCCUGCAAAUGCAUAUUUUUGAGCCAGUUACCAAGAAGAGAUUUGGGACAGAUUGGUGGCUAUGAGGUGGCGACUAAGCUCUGCUCCCUGUGUCCUCCCAUUCCAGAAUCCAGAGUAAAAGAUAAUUCACUAUUUGGGACACACUGUUUUCAUGACAGAGGAAAAAGAGCAAGAGAGCUGCUGACAGAAACUCCAGAUGCUCCUUAAAGCUUCUACUCAGUCAUGGCACACACCAUGUCCACUCACAUUCAUUACCCAAAGCCCUUCCAUGGUCAAGCCCAGAAUCAAGUGGGCAGGGACUUACCCCCCAUCCCCCACAGAAGCUACUGAAAGACACACAGCAACAGGCAGGAAUUGAUAAUCUUCUCAUAUAGAAGGGGGAAUCAUUUCAGAACAAUAAUACAACUUACCAUUCCUUUAGACUCCACCCAUGUAACUUAUAUCCAGUAUAGGGAUUUUCUCCCCAUGUCAACUAAAAAGAAAUGUGAUAUGAUUUUUUUUUUUUUGCCCUCUUAGGAUUGUUAUUAAGCCCUGUGCAACAUUUGCCAAAUCAUUCUUCAGGAUAUUACUGUCCCCUGAGAUGUUAACAGUUGUUAAGCAACUAAAAAGGAUUCCCUGGUCAAAUAAGUUUGGAAAAUGUUCUAUGUUAAUAGCCCUCUCGUAAUACUCAUAAUUCUGUAUUAUCAGAUUAAAUGUUCUCGAUGAUGCCUGCUGUAGAGAUAGCUACUUAACCCAAGAUUGGGAUCAUAGAUUUCUUUCCAGAAUGGCAGAAUCAUUAAUAUCUCAUGAGAUUCCAGUGACUAACAUUGCCCUAAAGGAUUACAGGAGAACCACCUGGAUAGAUUCUUGUUGCUUCUUCAUUUCUGUGCAUCCAGACUGAAGGACACUGAAUGAUGUUAAGAGGAGGUAUGCAUGAAGCCAACACAUCUGUACAGGACUCCUAAAGAAGGCUUGUGUUUUUGGCUAAGAUCAAACCCUGUGUGAGAAACCUGAAAAUGCUGAUUUGGAUACUACUCUUUGCCUACUGAAUUAAGUAUAAACACAUUAGACUGGCUUUUAUGUCUUCCUUCCUUUAUGUAACUAAUAUAUUUUGAGUACCCCUCUGUCCCAAGUACAAUGCCAGACAUUAAGUGCACAGUGUGAACAAAAUAAACAUGGGCCCUGUCCUCAUGGAUUUGCCAGUUUAAGAGGAAACAAACAUAAAACACACAUGAGAAUAGAUAGUUGAUGAUCAUACAACC
Molecule: long non-coding RNA, 2161 nt
Organism: Acinonyx jubatus (cheetah)
Lineage: Eukaryota; Metazoa; Chordata; Mammalia; Carnivora; Felidae
Exons: 3
Source: RefSeq, a predicted model, not a curated record